GAUCUUCUCAUUCUGCUGCUGUAUCACUUCCUGGAGCUCCUUUUCAUUCUGUGAGGGAAAGGGAGGUGAGAAGACACAUGGAGAGCUGGUCUCUUCACAGCCCUUGCCAGGAGUGCACACUGCGGGGAGGCCAAAGAAGGCUAUAUUUCUGCUUUCUUGAAACAUAGUCUGGUUGAAGAGACCAGGUAUCCAAGGAAAAUUAAUACAAAUACAAAAGGAGAGUAAGUUCAUGAGAAAUAUGGCAGAAGAAAAGAUCACCGGGUCCACAUGAUUUGAUUUGGGAACAUUUCAAAGAAGUGGCCUACAAAGGGACCUGGCAAGCUUCAGGGGAAGAGGAUGCAUGGCAGAUUCAGGGAUGGGAAACAAGGUCAAGAACAAGAGGAAAGGACACAAAGAUAAGAAAACAAGUGGGAAAUUGAACAGCUGGAGGAACACGGAGCUUAUGGUUUCCAGGAUUUUUGGCAAAUGGUAAGGUCAUUACUUUGAGGAUAUUUUCAACUCAAAGGAGGUCUCUGCACAUUUGGGGACCAUCUCUUCUUAGCAGCAGCCACCUAUUAUCUCAACAGCCACAAUGGUGAGGUGCUAUCAAUUCCUUCACCUGCCACCAUUCCCUUCCUUCCUAGGCCUGUGUUGUAACAGAAUCCUCUAGAACAUUGUUGUUGUUGUUGUUUGAGACAGCCUUACUCUGUUGCCCAGGCUGGAGUACACUGGUGCGAUCUCGGCUCACUGCAACCUCUGCCUCCUGGGUUCAAGCGAUUCUCAUGCCUCAGCCACCCAAGUAGCUGGGAUUACAGGAGUGCACUACCAUACCCAGCUAACUUUUGUAUUUUUAAUAGAGAUGGGGUUUCACUAUGUUAGCCAGGCUGGUCUCAAACUCCUGGCCUCAAGUGAUCUGCCAGCCUCAGCCUCCCAAAGUGCUGGGAUUAUAAGCAUGAGCCACCACAUUGGGCCAACAGUGGUCUUUUAGCUACUUUCCUCUAAUAUUUCCCACAAAAACUAAGUACCCUUAAGUUUAAAUUGUUGCAAAGGCUGUAAUGUCCAGCAUAUUACCAAUAUUGACAAUUUAAAAUUUUUUUUUUUUUUUUGAGACAGAGUCUUACUCUAUCCCCCAGGCUGGAGUGCAGUGGCGCGAUCUUGGCUCACUGUAACCUCUGCCUCCCGGGUUCAAGCAAUUCUCAUGCCUCAGCCUCCUAAGUAGCUGGAAUUACAGGUGCCCUCCACCACACCCGGCUAAUUUUUGUAUUUUUAGUAGAGACGGGGUUUCGCCAUGUUGGCCAGGCUGGUCUUGAACUCCUGACCUCAGGUGAUCCGCCCGCCUCGGCCUUCCAAAGUGCUGGGAUUACAGGUGUGAGCCACCGUGCCCAGCCUAAAAUAAAAUUAUUAGAUUAUUCUUAAAUAUAUCCAGUGGCAUAAAUACCACAUACACCAAAAUGAUGAGAUACCUAGUUGCUAUCUUUUAAAAAUACAAGAAAAAGCUCUUCUUAGCAGUCAGAAAUUUUACUAUGUCGUGCCUUUUUCUCUUUGAACAUAUAUUUUUUAUUUUUCUCAGAAUUUCAUCCUAAUGUAAUAUAUUUGUAUGCUUUAAAGUCUGUUAUUAGCUGGGCACAGUGGCUCACAGCUGUAAUCUCAGUGCUUUGGGAGGCAAAGGCUAGCAGAUCACUUGAGCCCAGGAGUUUGAGAACAGCCUGGCCAACAUAGCAAAACCCCAUCUCUACUAAAAAUACAAAAAAAUUAGGUAGGUGUGGUGGCAUACACCUACAGUCCUAGCUACCCAGGAGGCUGAGGUGGGAGGAUCACCUGAGCCAAGGAAGCUGAGGCUUCAGUGAGCCCUGAUCACAACAUGGUACUCUAGCCUGGGUGACAGACCGAGACACUAUCUCAAAAAAUAAAAAUAAAAUCUGUUAUUAACCAUCAUCUCUGCAACAACAACAAAAGGUCAUCUAAAUUUAAAUUAAAAUUUCCUUUAAAUUCCUUUGACCAGAAGGCUUUAAAGUGAAAAAGCUUUCUUUUGGAUAGAGAAAUCUUUUAAUCAGUUGUAUAUUAGUCACUGUAAUAUAAUUUCUAAUAAAAUAAACAUGCUUAGCAAAAUUUAAUUAGGAAUCACCUAUUAAUGAAAUCGAUGCAGCUUCCUUCCCCUUAUUAGUUCAUAUAUCUGUGGAUUACUAUAAUUCCAGCAAUAAGAAAUGGUUCAGCAACAAUUCAUGACUCUUUGUUUUUUGAGGUAGGGUCUGGCUCUGUCACCCAGGCUGGAGUGCAGUGGCAAGAUCUCAGUUCACUGCAGCCUUGAACUCCUGGCCUCAAGUGAUCCUCCACCUCAGCCUUCCAAGUAGCUGGGACUAUAGGCACACACCCCCGCACCCAGCUAAUUUUUGUAUUUUUUUGUAGAGAUGAGGUUUCACCAUAUUUCUCAGGCUGGUCUUGAACUCCUGAGCUCAAGCGAUCCUCCCACCUCACCCUCCCAAAGUACUGAGAUUACAGGGGUGAGCCGCCAUGCCGGCUGACUCCUUUCCAUUCUGACAGAUGUAAACACUGAGAAAUCUUCUUCACAUAAACAAUAGGGGCCGGGCGCAGUGGCUCAUGCCUGUAAUCCCAGCACUUUGGGAGGCUGAGGCAGGUGGAUCCUGAGGUCAGAAGUUCGAAACCAGCCUGACCAAGAUAGUGAAACCCUGUCUCUACUAAAAAUACAAAAAUUA
This is a long non-coding RNA of Symphalangus syndactylus (siamang), 2693 nucleotides long. RefSeq lists it as uncharacterized. The record is from RefSeq and is a predicted model, not a curated record. NCBI's taxonomy places the organism in Eukaryota, Metazoa, Chordata, Mammalia, Primates, Hylobatidae.